GGGGGUAUGGCGGAAUUGGUAGACGCUACGGACUUGGAAAAUCCGUCGACUUUUGAAAUCGUGAGGGUUCAAGUCCCUCUAUCCCCA
This 87-nucleotide transfer RNA is filed under the name Pulsatilla cernua var. koreana. RNAcentral describes it as "Anemone cernua var. koreana tRNA-Leu". It matches the Rfam family "tRNA". Rfam says of the family: Transfer RNA (tRNA) molecules are approximately 80 nucleotides in length. Their secondary structure includes four short double-helical elements and three loops (D, anti-codon, and T loops). Further hydrogen bonds mediate the characteristic L-shaped molecular structure. tRNAs have two regions of fundamental functional importance: the anti-codon, which is responsible for specific mRNA codon recognition, and the 3' end, to which the tRNAs corresponding amino acid is attached (by aminoacyl-tRNA synthetases). tRNAs cope with the degeneracy of the genetic code in two manners: having more than one tRNA (with a specific anti-codon) for a particular amino acid; and 'wobble' base-pairing, i.e. permitting non-standard base-pairing at the 3rd anti-codon position. The record is from RNAcentral. RNAcentral also lists the same sequence under 1 other name. Lineage: Eukaryota; Viridiplantae; Streptophyta; Magnoliopsida; Ranunculales; Ranunculaceae.